Molecule: ribosomal RNA, 914 nt
Filed under: uncultured Anaerofilum sp.
Lineage: Bacteria; Bacillati; Bacillota; Clostridia; Eubacteriales; Oscillospiraceae
Description: bacterial SSU rRNA
Rfam family: Bacterial small subunit ribosomal RNA
Source: RNAcentral
UGUUUAAUUUACGGGCUCAACCCGUAUCAGCAUUCAAAACUGUGGUUCUUGAGUAAUGCAGAGGUAGGCGGAAUUCCCGGUGUAGCGGUGGAAUGCGUAGAUAUCGGGAGGAACACCAGUGGCGAAGGCGGCCUACUGGGCAUCAACUGACGCUGAGGCUCGAAAGCAUGGGUAGCAAACAGGAUUAGAUACCCUGGUAGUCCAUGCUGUAAACGAUGAUUACUAGGUGUGGGAAGAUUGACCCUUUCCGUGCCGCAGUUAACACAAUAAGUAAUCCACCUGGGGAGUACGACCGCAAGGUUGAAACUCAAAGGAAUUGACGGGGGCCCGCACAAGCAGUGGAGUAUGUGGUUUAAUUCGAAGCAACGCGAAGAACCUUACCAGGUCUUGACAUCCAACGACCGCCUAAGAGAUUAGGCUUUCCUUCGGGACGUUGAGACAGGUGGUGCAUGGUUGUCGUCAGCUCGUGUCGUGAGAUGUUGGGUUAAGUCCCGCAACGAGCGCAACCCUUAUUACUAGUUACUACGCAAGAGGACUCUAGUGAGACUGCCGUUGACAAAACGGAGGAAGGUGGGGAUGACGUCAAAUCAUCAUGCCCUUUAUGACCUGGGCUACACACGUACUACAAUGGCUAUUAACAGAGAGAAGCGAGACCGCAAGGUGGAGCAAACCUCAGAAAAAUAGUCUCAGUCCGGAUUGGGGGCUGCAACCCGCCCCCAUGAAGCCGGAAUUGCUAGUAAUCGCGGAUCAGCAUGCCGCGGUGAAUACGUUCCCGGGCCUUGUACACACCGCCCGUCACACCAUGAGAGCCGGGGGGACCCGAAGUCGGUAGUCUAACCGCAAGGAGGACGCCGCCGAAGGUAAAACUGGUGAUUGGGGUGAAGUCGUAACAAGGUAACCGUAAAGGGCGAAUU